UUGGUGGGGACCACCAUAGCGUAGCCCACACAGGUCCCUCCCAGGCAGCUGGCGAGCUCGUGGAAAAGUCCAUGAAAGAGCGACUCCAGGGGAAGGACCAAUAGAAACAUACUCACAAAGACACUGCUGGACGACUGACAGACAUUUACAAAAGGGUUAUCCAAAGGAAGGAGCAGCCCGCCACGCCCGAGUCUCUUCUGACCGAGGUGGAGAGAAGACGGUGGCAUCCAUCCGUUACCGGCGGCUGAUGGGGAGGUGGUUUGGAAAUGAAGGAGUGGGGCACCUAGAGCCGCCGUCUAGCAUGGCAGCAGACACAGCCUGGCGAGGAGACGGCUUCCCUCCAGGACAUUUACAAGACGUGGAUUUCCCUCACUACACUGAGAUCGAGCUGGAGGAAGUCCACUGGCCCCUCUGGAUCCGAACCAGCCUUCCCUCCUCUUCAGGUCGCGGGGACCUGGAGCCUAUCCCAGCAGUCACUGGGCG
Molecule: long non-coding RNA, 483 nt
Organism: Lampris incognitus (smalleye Pacific opah)
Lineage: Eukaryota; Metazoa; Chordata; Actinopteri; Lampriformes; Lampridae
Exons: 4
Source: RefSeq, a predicted model, not a curated record